This 75-nucleotide transfer RNA is filed under the name Chionomys gud (Gudaur snow vole). Its description in RNAcentral is "tRNA-Gln". It matches the Rfam family "tRNA". Rfam says of the family: Transfer RNA (tRNA) molecules are approximately 80 nucleotides in length. Lineage: Eukaryota; Metazoa; Chordata; Mammalia; Rodentia; Cricetidae. The record is from RNAcentral.
UUUUAGAAUGGGGUGUAGUUGGUAGCACGGAGAAUUUUGGAUUCUUAAGUAUAGGUUCAAUUCCUAUUGUUCUAG